CAGCGGGUGAGAGCCCCGCCCGGCGAUUGCUCCAGCCGGAAGCAACCUAUAAGGAGCAGCUAUGGAGGUAAGGAAGUGGCUGAAGCCUCUGGUGAAGCGUCUCACGAAUUGGUGACAGCGCGAGUGUGCAGGCCGUAACGCGA
Molecule: non-coding RNA, 143 nt
Filed under: Paraburkholderia tuberum
Lineage: Bacteria; Pseudomonadati; Pseudomonadota; Betaproteobacteria; Burkholderiales; Burkholderiaceae
Source: RNAcentral